CCCUUAGAUGUUCGGGGCCGCACGCGCGCUACACUGGCGGAAUCAGCGGGUAUUUCUCCCUUGGCCGGAAGGUCUGGGUAAUCCACUGAACCUCCUCCGUGAUGGGGAUAGGGAAUUGCAAUUAUUUCCCUUGAACGAGGAAUUCCCAGUAAGCGCGAGUCAUCAGCUCGCGUUGAUUACGUCCCUGCCCUUUGUACACACCGCCCGUCGCUACUACCGAUUGAAUGGUUUAGUGAGAUCCUCGGAUCGGCGGCGUCGGGACGGCCCUGCCGUACCGUUCUGCAUUGUCCGAGAAGACGAUCAAACUUGAUCAUUUAGAGGAAGUAAAAGUCGUAACA
This 338-nucleotide ribosomal RNA is filed under the name uncultured eukaryote. RNAcentral's name for it is "partial 18S ribosomal RNA". It matches the Rfam family "Eukaryotic small subunit ribosomal RNA", at positions 1470 to 1796 of the family's 1831-position model. The record is from RNAcentral.